AGAGUGAACGCUGGCGGCAGGCCUAACACAUGCAAGUCGAACGGCAGCACAGCAGAGCUUGCUCUGUGGGUGGCGAGUGGCGGACGGGUGAGGAUAACGUCGGAAUCUGCCUAUUUGUGGGGGAUAACGUAGGGAAACUUACGCUAAUACCGCAUACGACCUACGGGUGAAAGCGGAGGACCUUCGGGCUUCGCGCAGAUAGAUGAGCCGACGUCGGAUUAGCUAGUUGGCGGGUAAAGGCCCACCAAGGCGACGAUCCGUAGCUGGUCUGAGAGGAUGAUCAGCCACACUGGAACUGAGACACGGUCCAGACUCCUACGGGAGCAGCAGUGGGGAAUAUUGGACAAGUGGGCGCAAGCCUGAUCCAGCCAUCGCCGCGUGUGUAGAAGAAGGCCUUCGGUUGUAAAGUCACUUUAGUAACGGAAGAAAAGCGACCGAAGUUAACUACCCUGGCGUCAGUGACGGUAACCGUAAG
This 475-nucleotide ribosomal RNA is filed under the name uncultured soil bacterium. RNAcentral describes it as "bacterial SSU rRNA". It matches the Rfam family "Bacterial small subunit ribosomal RNA", at positions 26 to 490 of the family's 1533-position model. The record is from RNAcentral.